CCUGGUUGAUCUUGCCAGUAGUCAUAUGCUUGUCUCAAAGAUUAAGCCAUGCAAGUGAAAGUAUAUAUAUAUUUUAUAUGUAGAAACUGCGAACGGCUCAUUAAAACAGUUAUAGUCUACUUGACAUUUUUAUUAUAAGGAUAACUACGGAAAAGCUGUAGCUAAUACUUGCUUUAUUAUCCUUUGAUUUUAUAUCUUAGGAUAAGUACUUGUUAGGCCUUAUAAGAAAAAAGUUAUUAACUUAAGGAAUUAUAACAAAGAAGUAACACGUAAUAAAUUUAUUUUAUUUAGUGUGUAUCAAUCGAGUUUCUGACCUAUCAGCUUUUGAUGUUAGGGUAUUGGCCUAACAUGGCUAUGACGGGUAACGGGGAAUUAGAGUUCGAUUCCGGAGAGGGAGCCUGAGAAAUAGCUACCACAUCUAAGGAAGGCAGCAGGCGCGUAAAUUACCCAAUUCUAAAGAAGAGAGGUAGUGACAAGAAAUAACAAUGCAAGGCCAAUUUUUGGUUUUGUAAUUGGAAUGGUGGGAAUUUAAAACCUUCCCAGAGUAACAAUUGGAGGGCAAGUCUGGUGCCAGCAGCCGCGGUAAUUCCAGCUCCAAUAGCGUAUAUUAAAAUUGUUGCAGUUAAAACGCUCGUAGUUGAAUUUCAAAGAAUCGAUAUUUUAUUGUAACUAUAUUAGGGGAACUAUUUUAGCUUCGCGCUUUAAUACGCUUCCUCUAUUAUUAUGUUCUUUAAAUAACAAAGAUUCUUUUUAAAAUCCCCACUUUGCUUUUCUGCUUUUUGGGGAUUUUGUUACUUUGAGUAAAUUAGAGUGUUCAAAGCAAACAGUUAAAGCAUUUUACUGUGUUUGAAUACUAUAGCAUGGAAUAACAAAAUUGAACAGGCUGAAAUUUUUUGUUCUUUUUUCUUAUUUUGGCUUAGUUACGAUUAAUAGGAGUAGCUUGGGGACAUUCGUAUUCAGAUGUCAGAGGUGAAAUUCUUAGAUUUUCUGGAGACGAACAACUGCGAAAGCAUUUGUCUAAAAUACUUCCAUUAAUCAAGAACGAAAGUUAAGGGAGUGAAGACGAUCAGAUACCGUCGUAAUCUUAACCAUAAACUAUGCCGACUAGGUGUUGGAUGAAAGUGUUAAAAAUAAAAGUCAUCUUUCGAGGUGACUUUUAGAUUGCUUCCUUCAGUACCUUAUGAGAAAUCAAAGUCUUUGGGUUCUGGGGCGAGUAUUCGCGCAAGCGAGAAAGUUAAAAGAAUUGACGGAAGGGCACCACCAGGCGUGGAGCUUGUGGCUUAAUUUGACUCAACACGGGAAAUUGCUUCCUUCAGUACCUUAUGAGAAAUCAAAGUCUUUGGGUUCUGGGGCGAGUAUUCGCGCAAGCGAGAAAGUUAAAAGAAUUGACGGAAGGGCACCACCAGGCGUGGAGCUUGCGGCUUAAUUUGACUCAACACGGGGAAACUCACUAGUUUAAGACAAGAGUAGGAUUGACAGAUUAAUAGCUCUUUCUUGAUUUCUUGGAUGGUGAUGCAUGGCCGUUUUUAGUUCGUGAAUAUGAUUUGUCUGGUUAAUUCCGAUAACGAACGAGAUCUUAACCUGCUAAUUAGCGGUAAGUACGCUAUAUUCUUAAUUGAAAUUGAAUAUAGGUAAUUAUACAUUUAUUCAGUGAUCAAAUUAGGAUAUUUUUAUUAAAAUAUCCUUUUCCCUGUUCUACUAAUAAUUUGUUUUUUACUCUAUUUCUCUCUUCUUUUAAGAAUGUACUUGCUUGAUUGUAAAGCUUCUUAGAGGAACAUUGUGUGUCUAACACAAGGAAGUUUAAGGCAACAACAGGUCUGUGAUGUCCUUAGAUGAACUAGGCUGCACGCGUGCUACACUGAUAUAUAUAACGAGUUAUUAAAAAUAUGCAUUUAUUUGUAUCUUUGAUGCUUAUAUUUUGCAUACUUUUCCUCCGCCGAAAGGCGUAGGUAAUCUUUAUCAAUAUAUAUCGUGAUGGGGAUAGAUUAUUGCAAUUAUUAAUCUUGAACGAGGAAUGCCUAGUAAGCAUGAUUCAUUAGAUUGUGCUGACUACGUCCCUGCCCUUUGUACACACCGCCCGUCGCUCCUACCGAUUGAAAGAUAUGAUGAAUUGUUUGGACAAGAAAAAUGGAAUUAUAUUCUUUUUUUUCUGGAAAAACCGUAAAUCCUAUCUUUUAAAGGAAGGAGAAGUCGUAACAAGGUUUCCGUAGGUGAACCUGCGGAAG
Molecule: ribosomal RNA, 2225 nt
Filed under: Plasmodium reichenowi
Lineage: Eukaryota; Apicomplexa; Aconoidasida; Haemosporida; Plasmodiidae
Description: SSU rRNA
Rfam family: Eukaryotic small subunit ribosomal RNA
Source: RNAcentral